CUGGAGGAAAUUGAGCAUUGUAUAGAGGAUGUAGUACUUACUCUUUGCUGUAGGGGGCGCUAUGGUUGAAGUUGACUAUUGUUAUGUCAAUGUGUUCAGAGGCCAACCCUGAACAUACCUGAGAAAUUAGAAAAAGAUCAGACAAAGUAUAUAAGCUGUAGUACUUACUCCUUGCAGUAGGGGGUGCUAUGGUUAAAGUAAAUGAUUGUUAUGUCAAUGUGUUCAGAGGCCAACCCUGAUCAUACCUGGGAAAUUUUAAGCAAAUCCGACAAAGUAUAUAUGAUGUAGUGCUUAGUCCUUGCAGUAGGGGGCGCUAUGGUUAAAGUUGACUAUUGUUAUGCCAAUGUGUUCAGAGGCCAACCCUGAUCAUACCUGGGAAAUUUUAAGCAGAUCCGAGAAAGUAUGUAUGAUUUACAGCCACUUCCUGUUUGAUGGCGAUGUGAUUUGUGGACUUCCUGUUGAGUUUUGGGCGUGGGUUGAAGAGUCUUUUUUGUAGGUUUUGUCAUGUUGGAAAUGCAUAGUAAAAUUCAGAAUUGUAGGUUCAACGUGCUGCGGGGGCUGAAUG
Long non-coding RNA from Labrus mixtus (cuckoo wrasse), 565 nucleotides. RefSeq lists it as uncharacterized. The transcript is spliced from 2 exons. The record is from RefSeq and is a predicted model, not a curated record. Lineage: Eukaryota; Metazoa; Chordata; Actinopteri; Labriformes; Labridae.